GCAACAGCUCAAAUUUGAAAUCUGGCCCUCGGGUCCGAGUUGUAAUUUGGAGAGGAUGCUUCUGGCGCGGCGCCGUCCGAGUUCCUUGGAACAGGACGCCAUAGAGGGUGAGAGCCCCGUACGGGCGGCCGCCUAGCCUUUGUGAAGCUCCUUCGACGAGUCGAGUAGUUUGGGAAUGCUGCUCAAAAUGGGAGGUAAAUUUCUUCUAAAGCUAAAUACCGGCCAGAGACCGAUAGCGCACAA
Molecule: ribosomal RNA, 243 nt
Filed under: Ophiostoma ainoae
Lineage: Eukaryota; Fungi; Ascomycota; Sordariomycetes; Ophiostomatales; Ophiostomataceae
Also listed under: 1 other name
Description: partial large subunit ribosomal RNA
Rfam family: Eukaryotic large subunit ribosomal RNA
Source: RNAcentral